AUUGAACGCUGGCGGCAGGCCUAACACAUGCAACUCGAGCGGAGCGGCGGCCGGGUGAGGAACGCCUAGGAACCCGCCGGGUCGAGGGGGAUACGGUCCGGAAACGGGAGCUAAUCACGCAUACCAUCAGAGGAGCCUCGGUCGGAUUAGCUCGUUGGGGGGGUAAAGGCCUACCAAGGCGACGAUCCGUAACUGGUCUGAGAGGAUGCUCAGUCACACUGGAACUUGGACACGGUCCAGACUCCUACGGGAGGCAGCAGUGGGGAAUAUUGGACAAUGGGCGAAAUCCUGAUCCAGCCAUGCCGCGUGUGUGAAGAAGGUCUUCGGAUUGUAAAGCACUUUAAGUUGGGAGGCGUUACCAACAGAAUAAGCACCGGCUAACUUCGUGCCAGCAGCCGCGGUAAUUC
This 407-nucleotide ribosomal RNA is filed under the name uncultured bacterium. RNAcentral describes it as "partial 16S ribosomal RNA". It matches the Rfam family "Bacterial small subunit ribosomal RNA", at positions 30 to 526 of the family's 1533-position model. The record is from RNAcentral.